AGUUGUUUUUAUAUUGCUAAAUUCCCCAGCUCUGUCAGGUCCCCCUUGAAUUUGACUAGUGAAGGGGUCUUCCAUAUAGGAUCUCAAAGGGGGAGAAUCCUAUUUUUGCCCGGGAUGUACAGCAUAUUUGGAGAAGAGCUAGGGGUAGUAUAUCUGGCCAGGACAAGUUAGUUUCCUGACAUAGUUUGCCAUGGCUGAUAUAAGGGUCUAGUUCAUAUGUUCCCUGAACUCUGGGGCUGGUAGGCUGCUUUUAAGUACCUUUGGAUAUCUAGGGCUUUGGCUACUUGUUGCACCACCUCGGCCACAAAGGCUGGGCCAUUGUCUGAGCUUAUGGUUAACAGUAUUCCAUGUCUGGGAAUGAUAUCCCUUAGCAAGGCCUUGGGUACUUCUCUUGCCUUUUUGGUGAGUGUGGGAUAGACUUUAAUCCAGUCCAAAAACAUGCAGAUUAAUACCAAAAAAUAUUUGUAUCCUUUACUGGGUCUUAUUUUGAUAAACUCUACCUCUAAAUCUUUGAAGAGUGCCUGACCACAGUGUUGGAUUUCUAUGGGCCCAGUGGGGCCUUGUUUGGCAUUAUUUUGAGCACAGAAGAGGCGGCAUUGAGAGACCUAGGCGCAGAGGGAUUAGAGUCAAGCAAUUACAUGGUAAUGGCUUAAUAAAUUUUCAAGGGCAGUUUUUCCUAGGUGGGUAAGCUCAUGCUGUAGGAGAGCCACCUGGUAUGCUAGCUGCUCCAGUACAUGGACUCUUUGGUCUGGAAGUACCCACCAUCCUUCUUUUGUCUGGCCUUUUUCCUGUUGUGCCCAUUUUGUUUCUUGGAUUGUGUACUUUGGGGAAGUUGGCAGUUCUGGGGCCAGCAUGAUUUUUGAGGGUGUUGUUUGUUUUUCUGCUGCUUGUUUAGCUGUGGUGUCAGCUUGUCGAUUCCCUUCUGAUGCUGUGUCCUUUCCUCUGGUGUCCCUUGCAGUGGAUGACUGCUACCUCCCUUGGUUCCCAGACUGCCAUUAAUAGCUUUAGGAUUUCUUCCCAAUUUCUGAUUUCUCUUCCUCCUGCGGUCACAAGUUCUCUCUCCUUGUAUAGAGCCCCAUGUACACGUAGAGUGGCAAAGGCAUAGUGCAAAUCAGUGUAUAUGUUGGCCUGUUUAUCUUUCCUGAGUUCUAGUGCUCUCAGUAGGGCCCACAGUUCUGCUUUUUGGGCUGACCAUCCUCGUGGAAGGGCCUUUGUUUCUGUGACCUCAAAAUCAGAGACUACUGCAUAACCAGCAUAUCUUUUGCCUUCGUUCAUGAAGCUUCUGCCGUCAGUGUGCAGUAUGAGGUCAGGAUUUUGUAAGGGCCUGAUAGGUCAGGUUGGCUAGAAUACACUUCAUCAAGUACCUCUAGACAAUCAUGUUCUGGGGACCCCACCACUGCGGGCAAGAAAGUGGCAGGUUUAGAGUUUUUAUAGUUUCCAUUCUUAUUCACGGGUUCUCACAUAACAGUCCCUGAUAUUGUAUGGCCCUCUGGCAUCCAUCAAGGUAAUAACAGAAUGGGGAACAUUUAGGUUUUACCCCAAAUGUGAGUUUGUCUGCUUCCAUGAUUAAAAGCGUGGUGGCUGUUAGUGCUCUCAGGCAGUGUGGCCACUGAGUCAAUCUGCUUUGAAAGGUAUGCCACUGGUCUUUGCCAACGUCCAAAUUCCUGGGUGAGAACCCCCAGGGCCACUCCCUUCUUAGGUAUGAACAGGUUGAAAUCUUGUGAUACAUCUGGGACUCCCAAGGCUAGUGCCUCUGAGUUUUGUUUUGAACUCCUUUUCUUGAUUAGGGACCCAGAAAAGGGGUGCUCUCUCUUCCCCUUUCAGUGCCUCAAAUAUAGGUCUGGCCAACUCAGAGAACCCUGGGAUCCGUAUUCGACAGAAUCCUGCUGCUCCCAGGAACUCUUGGACCUGCUCGCAGGGCUCUGGUUCCCUCCCAGCACUGGGUCUGCAUGGGACUGGCUAGCAGAAGAUCAUCCAUACCUUGGAGGAGGAUGCAUCCUAGGUCCUGUCCCAGAACCUGGCUAAAUCAUAUGCCAAAGCCCAGCUGAAUAAGUGGUGCUAUCCAGGCAGUUGGUGGACACAGGAGGCAAGCAAGAUUACAGAAGCCAAAAAGUGUGCAAGGUGAGUAUCCAGCCUCCAACAUCAGACUGGCCCCUCUUAUCUUGUUUUUACUAGCCUUUCUUCUCACCCUGGAUAGCAGAUAAAGCUCUUCUACGUAUAAAGCUCUUCUACGUGUAUUUUUGAAAGAUCCUACCAAAUUUAAGGAAAUCAAAAAUUAAAAAGUUUAAUGACUAUCCACGACUGCCCUUCACAGAGGAAGGAGGACCCCAAAUUUCCCUGAGGCUCUCCUACAAAUGAUCUGUGAAAGGCCAUUAUUCAGGGACUAAUAAAAGCCCAGUUGAAUUAAAUACCCAGAAAAGCUUUUGUUAUAUAGACUUAAAGAUAUAAAUCUAUUUUAUUCCAUUUUAGUUAAAAAUCUGCAAUAUAAGCAAAUUUAUUUAAAAAGAUGGGCCAGUCCCUUGAUAUUAAGACUGUAAUCUAGUUCUUUGGGGAAUUAAAAAAAACUGUGUUUGCUGUCUUUUUCUUUGCAAAAAACUGUCUUUACAAAUCUCUACAGAGCCAGAAAUGCAACUCCAGAAACAAGUCAAAACCAAUGGUUCUUGUAAUUCACUUUGAUAUACAAGUGCUUUGGAUUACAAGCAUGUUUCUGGAAUGAAUUAUGCUCUCAACCCAAGGUUUUACUGUAUUUGGAAUUUGGGCUCCUAAUGUC
Long non-coding RNA from Acinonyx jubatus (cheetah), 2770 nucleotides. RefSeq lists it as uncharacterized. The transcript has 3 exons. The record is from RefSeq and is a predicted model, not a curated record. NCBI's taxonomy places the organism in Eukaryota, Metazoa, Chordata, Mammalia, Carnivora, Felidae.